GUCCUACGCGUCAUGCAUUUAGUCAUGCAUAUUAACCAAUGACUUAAAUUCUGCCAAGUCACUGGUUUUCCUGGCUAGCACAGGCAACCCAUUCCAUGCUCUAAUAGCACUAGGGAAGAAGGAGUAUUUGUACAAAUUUGUCCUAGCAUAUGGGACGAGGAAUGUGCCUUUAUCUUUGUGUCUUUCAGAGUUUCUAUCAAAGCACAGAGCAGGAUGGGCCACUGUCCUGUUGGCUUGUAUUUCGCCCGGCUCAGGACAGACCUUGAUCCACAGUGCCAUGCUGUGGGAAGAGGAAACUGUCUUAUAAUAUUCUUUUCGACUGCCCCAGAAUUGCUGAACUCUUCAACAGGUCGGAAAACCAGUUUUUUUUUUUAUCUGCAUGGUGACAUACAUGCAUUAUGCAUAACAGCAGGAUUUCUCUCCAGAACUUUUGCCAUAGAGGAUUUGAACCUCUCAAGCUCUCAUUCAAAUGGAGUUUUAUGAUAGCAUUAGUCAUUUGGUUUGUACAAAGAUAUUUACAACAUGCAACAAAGAUAAUGAACUUUUCCAUUGAACAAAAAAUAUGGAUAAAAUAUUGAUGGAUGAGAGAGUUUACACAUAAAAAAAGCAGUGCUGUCAUUCUAUACAUCCCCUGGUGAG
Long non-coding RNA from Biomphalaria glabrata, 639 nucleotides. RefSeq lists it as uncharacterized. The transcript has 3 exons. Lineage: Eukaryota; Metazoa; Mollusca; Gastropoda; Planorbidae. The record is from RefSeq and is a predicted model, not a curated record.